UCAAAUCGAGCAAAGUAACUUACAAGGAAGCGGAUGAGCUCGAUGGUCCCUCGAGCAAUCUUUGGGUUGGGAAUUUGGCCGCCGACGUUUCGGAUUCGAAUCUUAUGGAUCUAUUUGCAAAGUUCGGUGUUCUUGAUUGCAUGAUGACUUGUACGUCUAGGAGUUAUGCGUUCUUAUACUUCAAACGCGUGGAGGAUGCUGCAGCGGCGAAGCAGACGCUUCAAGGAACGGUCUUGCGUGGGUAUCCUUUGAAGAUCGAGUUUGCGAGACCGGUUCGUUGUUCUCAUCUCUGCG
RNAcentral lists this unclassified non-coding RNA (294 nucleotides) under Hevea brasiliensis (rubber tree). Lineage: Eukaryota; Viridiplantae; Streptophyta; Magnoliopsida; Malpighiales; Euphorbiaceae. The record is from RNAcentral.